This is a long non-coding RNA of Ornithorhynchus anatinus (platypus), 3838 nucleotides long. RefSeq lists it as uncharacterized. The record is from RefSeq and is a predicted model, not a curated record. NCBI's taxonomy places the organism in Eukaryota, Metazoa, Chordata, Mammalia, Monotremata, Ornithorhynchidae. The transcript has 4 exons.
GGGCAUCACUGAAUACAUUGCAAACAGACAACCGGAAGAAUCCCAUGUGAACCACGGAAUGGUCAGGAGCUGGAGGAGACAGUUCAAUGAAUCUGGCAAUCCAGUGUGGAGUGAGAGUGGGAUCCCACUAACCCCGGAUCCCUGCUAGUAUGACUGGCCUGUCUGGGUCACGCCCAUGAAUGGAUGGAGAAAACUGCCCUAUAACUGGCUGAGAAAUCAUCCGCAAGGAGGUACCCAGUCAUUAAGGAAGAGCUGACAACAUCCCCUCCUCCUGAGAAGGGAGUGGUCAGACACAACAACCAAGAGGGAAUUCAACAGAGGGCUAUGCACUUUGCCAGAAGGAAGCUCACUGACCUACAAGAGAGGGUGAAACACAAGUCUCCUGGAAGGACUGCCAUUGGCCCAACAGUGGACUCGGCCCUCAUAAUGGAGUCCUACCUGGAAAUAGCUUCUAGUACCAGCUCUGGACCUGCCUUCUGGAGCCAGGAUUUACUCAGGAUUAAUUAGAUGGAUUUCCCACACCAGUCCUUCAACAGCUGUGGCAAAAGGUUCCGAGGGGAAACUGGAGGGGGACCACUGGAGAAGGGGGAGAAGACUACCACCCUUUUGGUGCUAAGUGCUAGCCUCCCCCAGUGAUUCAGGACAACCAAUCCCCACACUCAGCACCUAGGUGAUCAUUAGAAUACAGGAGAAGUGGAAGAUUCUCUUCAUCGUGGACAUGGAGGCUCAAAUUUUGGUGCUAUCCGAGUGUGAUGACAAGGGGCUUCAGUAUCUGAGGUGUUGGGACAGGUCCUAGAAUGGGACCUGGUCCAAGUAUCCUUGACACUGCCGCGAGGAGAGGUCUGAAGGAUCCUAGCAUUUAGGUGGAUUUCUUUGUUUGGAAUGGACAUCCUUGACAAGAUCCAAGUGAGCCCCGUUGCUGAAGAAUGGCAUCUGACCUUCUACCUCGGGGAAGGCCGGACAGAACAGAUUUGGAGGGAGCAAGGUAUUACUGCUGGAGAGAACACCAUUGCUGCCAUCCUCCACCAUAACCAAUAUCUGCCAGGACCGAAUUCCCCCCAGUGGCUUGCGCUGCUGUGACCGAACUGUUGAAGGACUUGCUGGCCAGGGAAAUACUGCAGCCAACACAGUCUCCAUUCAAUUCACUGAUGUGGCUGGCAUGGAAACUAGAUAGGGGUCUGACAGCUGAUGGUGGUCUUUCAGCCCCUGAACACCAAGAUCGGACUGUUGCGUGCUGCUGUCCCUUCCACGGCAGAUAUUCUAAGUUGGAUGGAAGUCCUGUCCGCAACAUGAAUGGCAGCCUUCGAUGUGAAAAACAUGUUCUUCAUGGUCCCAAUCCAAGGUCAGGACCAGGAUAGGUUUGCCUUUACCUGGGAGGGGCAACAAUAUACGUUUAUGCCCUUGCCCCAGAGAUUCAAGCACAACCCUACCAUCACAUAUCACCAUCACACUGGCCCAAGAGAUGGACCGGAUCAACCUUCCAGCCGGAGUUACCAUCCUCCAGAACAUAGAUGCUAUCCUGGUCGGGUGACAUGAUGAGGAACCAGUGACUACAGCCCUGAAAGUAAUCAUUAAACACUUGGAGGAUCAGGACAUAACCCCCCAAGAAGAUCCGAAUACCGGCCCAACAUGUCAUCUUCCUGGGAAUAUCAUGGGAAAGGGGCCCGAGAGGACCAGACACCAAUAUGACUACCCUAGCAACAGUGCCAAGCUUCACCUCUAAGGACAUCCUCCAGCCAGUCCUGGGAAUGUUGGGAUUUUGGAGACGCCUUCACCUGGGAUUUGCAAUUUGGGCCCAGCCCUCAUUCUCCCUGCUCAAAAAAGGUACCCAGUCAGAGUGGAUGGAGAUGCACGAGGAGGCCCUGUCUGAAAUCAUCCAAGCCAUGCAGCAAUACUGAGCCCUCUGACUCGUCAUUAGGGAAAUAUUAUUUGUCUUACAUAUGGAGGUCGGAACCACUGGGUGGCAGUAAGGCACAUGGCUCGGGAAGCCCCUACAGAUCCAAAUCCUAAUCAUGUUUGGAUCAGGAGGAUGGAAGGGAGCCGAGAGUUGACCUUCCCUGUGGGAGAAGAUGAUCGAGGCCAUGUACAGGGUAAACACGUGGCAAGUUUACCCCAGUAACAUCAACAAUGGCACAGCCUGCUGAGUCUGCCUGCACCUUCCACAUCACUAUGGGUAAUGUGCCCAGUUUCUGGCCAUUCCCUGUACGUUGGAGGAGUGGACAACAGGGUGAAGCAACGUUAUGGUAUCUCAUUGGACUUUACAGGGGCAUACUUGGUGGGUUUGGCAGUAACAACCCCUCUAGGUGUUUCCUGUUGUAACACCAGAAGAGGUAACCUUUUGCUGGGACAGUAUGAUGAGUGUCACUUCACCAUCACCCUGUAUGACUGGCAGAAUACACUUAAACGGUUUCAGUACCUCCCCCAACACCACUGACAACGAGGCUGUCAGAGCCCAAGAUACUUUUGAGAUUGACCAGGGCAACCUCACAGUGUGUAUGCAAAUUGAUGAGAUGGUUUCAGUUGUGACCAGUUCUGACUUAGAGAUUCUCAACCAACAGCCAGUUGUUAAUGGAAAUUAGCCUCAAUACCAUCAUGGUUGAGGAUACCCUCACAUCUGCCUUUCCUGAGUGGAAGGAAAAUCAGGAGUGGAACCGACCUCCUGGCCUGUUUCUGGUGUGCGGAACCCAUGCACACUCCUUCCUCCCCAACAAUGUAGCAGACAUACUCACCCUUGCCAACCUGGUUUCCUCCACCUAUACCAAUCUCACUCUGUAUCAGCCACUCCCCUAGAAUCUGGAGUGAAGCCAAUGCUCCACAAAGGCACCUUCCAAAGCCAAAGUGAUUGGAGUCCUGAGAGUUCUCUUUUCGGGGAUCUCCUCCCUAUUCAUUGGGCAGAGUGAGUUAGACUUGGCCCUGUGGAACCUUAUAGGCACCUUGAUGCAAAUGGCAAAUGUGACAGAGGAUGUGUGAUCACUGCCCUCCAAGAAGAACUUUAGGGACCAGAACAGAUGGUCCUCCAGAAUAGGCUUGCUUUGGACAUACUCUUCAUCAGCUAGGGAAGUGUGUACAUUCUCCUAAAUGGAUCACGUUGCAUAUACAUGGAUCAAAUCCAUGUAUUUGGAUUUUGUGACCCGAAACACUGAUUAAAUCAGUCAGAUAGGGCUUUCCCUCCAACAUACCCAGGAGGAAUGAGUGGGAAACUCCUCUCCAGAAAUGCAGGGAGACUCCCAGACAUACCAAAGUGGGCCCAAUCCAUUUUUCAUCUUUUUAUGCUUAUGUUGCUAAUUGCUUUGCUGAUCUGGACCUGGAAACUGCAAGUUGUACCUGCCCCACAAAUAACGGCAACAGGUCCAAAUCCAUGCCCACCACCCUUUCCUGGACUGAACAAUUGGUGUGGCCACAGGGUAGGGAUGUCACCCAAGACCUAUGUGACUCUACUUUGGCUGAACUAUUAUUUCAGGGCAAAUCAGGAAACAUGAGGAAGAAGCUUGAUGCACAUGAAAGUCAAGGAAACGCUGGUUUGUCUGUCCAUAACACAUCUAUCGUCCCUUGUCUGUGAGCCUGCCAACACACACAUUUGAAUAAUGCACUAAGGUCCUUGGGCGGUGGUCCUCAGAACCAACACCUGUUGCAACCUGGCUGUGCUGGAAUGAGAUUGGAGAACGGCAACCAAUCGGCAGGCACCCUUGUUUACUCCCAGGUGGAAGGUGUGAGUGGGGGUUACACUCACGGGGAGAGGUUGUCAUGUUCCUGUCAGUCUGUGUACCCUCUGAUGGACUGGUACACAGACCGACAUGGGCUUAAGGAGGGUGGGCCUUAGCAUGCUAGCUUGUGGGUU